GUUUGAACUUGAUCGGUGGAGGAAUUGUGGGUCGACUCGAGACAGUUUCUAUGGUGUGGAAAGGGACAGUAGCAGCCAGCUGAUCGAAGUGUAAUGAAACCGGCAGGGAGAGUGAGCUCGUCUGUGGUGGUCGGCGAACCCUCAACCUUCUGAUCUGUAUUUUUAUGCAAUUGUUACUCUUGUACUCUAAGCAUUCUGUAUCACUGUCACUUCUCUCAAAACACAUUUGAAGGCAUUGUUAUGAAUUGUAUUGUUUGUUUGUUGUUGCCUCCUCUCUACUGGGUCAAAAUGGCAGACUUGGCACAGAGUAACAGUUGGAGUUCUACCCUGUUACUGUCAUUU
Molecule: long non-coding RNA, 342 nt
Filed under: Salmo salar (Atlantic salmon)
Lineage: Eukaryota; Metazoa; Chordata; Actinopteri; Salmoniformes; Salmonidae
Description: lncRNA (ENSSSAG00000116229.1)
Source: RNAcentral